Molecule: ribosomal RNA, 254 nt
Filed under: uncultured bacterium
Lineage: Bacteria
Description: partial 16S ribosomal RNA
Rfam family: Bacterial small subunit ribosomal RNA
Source: RNAcentral
GACGAGCUCUCCAAACGUUAUUCGGUAUCACUGGGCUUAAAGAGUUCGUAGGCGGUCUGGUAGGUGAGGUGUGAAAUCCCCCGGCUCAACCGGGGAACUGCGCUUCAAACCGCCGGACUUGAGGGAGACAGAGGUGGGCGGAACAGAUGGUGGAGCGGUGAAAUGCGUUGAUAUCAUCUGGAACACCGGUGGCGAAGGCGGCCCACUGGGCCGGUGCUGACGCUGGAGGCGCGAAGGCGUGGGGAGCGAACGGG